GGAUAUGCUCUUCGCCCACAUUCGCGGACAAGCAACCGAGCUCCGAGUCGUCAAAGAUGCUAAAAACUUUGGAGUGACAAUCACGGACAACGGACUCGGGAAUGCAUUUAUCAAG
Molecule: small RNA, 115 nt
Filed under: Caenorhabditis elegans
Lineage: Eukaryota; Metazoa; Nematoda; Chromadorea; Rhabditida; Rhabditidae
Description: Unclassified non-coding RNA C35D10.20
Source: RNAcentral